RNAcentral lists this ribosomal RNA (855 nucleotides) under uncultured Methylobacter sp. RNAcentral describes it as "bacterial SSU rRNA". It matches the Rfam family "Bacterial small subunit ribosomal RNA", at positions 77 to 916 of the family's 1533-position model. The record is from RNAcentral. Lineage: Bacteria; Pseudomonadati; Pseudomonadota; Gammaproteobacteria; Methylococcales; Methylococcaceae.
UCCUUCGGGCGCUGACGAGUGGCGGACGGGUGAGUAACGCGUAGGAAUCUGCCUGGUAGUGGGGGACAACGUGGGGAAACUCACGCUAAUACCGCAUACGCUCCCGAUUGCAAGAUGGGGAGGAAAGCGGGGGACCUUCGGGCCUCGCGCUAUCAGAUGAGCCUGCGUUAGAUUAGCUGGUUGGUGGGGUAAAGGCCUACCAAGGCGACGAUCUAUAGCUGGUCUGAGAGGACGAUCAGCCACACUGGGACUGAGACACGGCCCAGACUCCUACGGGAGGCAGCAGUGGGGAAUAUUGGACAAUGGGCGCAAGCCUGAUCCAGCAAUACCGCGUGUGUGAAGAAGGCCUUAGGGUUGUAAAGCACUUUCAAUGGGGAGGAAAACCUGCCGGCCAAUACCCGGCAGCUUGACAUUACCUGUAGAAGAAGCACCGGCUAACUCCGUGCCAGCAGCCGCGGUAAUACGGAGGGUGCGAGCGUUAAUCGGAAUUACUGGGCGUAAAGCGUGCGUAGGCGGUUCGUUAAGUCAGAUGUGAAAGCCCCGGGCUCAACCUGGGAACGGCAUUUGAAACUGGCGGACUAGAGUUUGGUAGAGGGGAGUGGAAUUUCAGGUGUAGCGGUGAAAUGCGUAGAUAUCUGAAGGAACACCAGUGGCGAAGGCGACUCCCUGGACCAGAACUGACGCUGAGGCACGAAAGCGUGUGUAGCAAACAGGAUUAGAUACCCUGGUAGUCCACGCCGUAAACGAUGUCAACUAGCCGUUGGCCCUAUUUACAGGGUGAGUGGCGCAGCUAACGCAUUAAGUUGACCGCCUGGGGAGUACGGCCGCAAGGUUAAAACUCAAAUGAAUUGACAG